Molecule: ribosomal RNA, 336 nt
Filed under: uncultured prokaryote
Description: bacterial SSU rRNA
Rfam family: Bacterial small subunit ribosomal RNA
Source: RNAcentral
AGAACGAACGCUGGCGGCGUGCCUAACACAUGCAAGUCCAACGUGAAAGGGGAGCAAUCCCCCGGUAGGUGGCAAACGGGUGAGUAAUACAUGGGUGAUCUACCUUAGGGAUGGGGAUAUCCUUCCGAAAGGAGGGGCAAUACCGAAUAUUGUCCGGAGCCGUGAAGGGUUUCGGGGAAGGAGGCCUCUGACACAAGCUUUCGCCUUAAGAUGAGCCCAUGGCCCAUCAGCUAGUUGGUAGGUAAGGCCCACCAAGGCUUCGACGGGUAGCUGGUCUGAGAGGACGAUCAGCCACACUGGGACUGNGACACGGCCCAGACUCCUACGGGCGGCAGC